This is a long non-coding RNA of Biomphalaria glabrata, 931 nucleotides long. RefSeq lists it as uncharacterized. The transcript is spliced from 4 exons. The record is from RefSeq and is a predicted model, not a curated record. Lineage: Eukaryota; Metazoa; Mollusca; Gastropoda; Planorbidae.
UAGGCUCUGAUGGGGUGUAGCGAUGUGUGCUGUAAACUAACCCAGACUUUUUUUUAAAAAUGAUACCAAACCAAUAGCUAGAGGAUCAUCAUCAGUCUGUUGAAUUGGUGUUAAUUACAUUAAGGGACUUAAUCACUCUUUUUUUAUUUCCAGAAAAUAAUACCAGGGUUAUGCUCCUUUCACCGUUGAGUUCCAGGAUGAAGAAUGAAAGACAGAGAGCAAUGUGAAGACAUCAAAGAAUGUGCAGGUCUGCCAUGAAAUGGUUUAUCCAGGGCUAAGUACAGAGAGGAAUAUAGAAGGGCUGUUGACUGAUCUUGUGUGGUGCCCCCAUGGCUCAACAGACUGAUUGAUAGAAAAUAAUACCAGGGUUAUGUUCCUUUCACUGUUGAGUUCCAGGAUGAAGAAUGAAAGACAGAGAGCAAUGUGAAGACAUCAAAGAAUGUGCAGGUCUGCCAUGAAAUGGUUUAUCCAGGGCUAAGUACAGAGAGGAAUAUAGAAGGGCUGUUGACAGAUCUUGUGUGGUGCCCCCAUGGUUCAACAGACUGAUUGAUAGGUAAUGAAAAUAAUACCAGGGUAAUGGUCCUUUCACUGUUGAGUUCCAGGAUGAAGAAUGAGAAAGACAGAGAGCAAUGUGAAGACAUCAAAGAAUGUGCAGGUCUGCCAUGAAAUGGUUUAUCCAGGGCUAAGUACAGAGAGGAAUAUAGAAGGGCUGUUGACAGAUCUUGUGUGGUGCCCCCAUGGUUCAACAGACUGAUUGAUAGGUAAUGAAAAUAAUACCAGGGUUAUGGUCCUUUCACUGUUGAGUUCCAGGAUGAAGAAUGAAAGACAGAGAGCAAUGUGAAGACAUCAAAGAAUAGCCAGGUAUGCCAUGAAAUGGUUAUCCAGGGCUAAUUAAAGAGGAAUAUAGAAGGGCUGUUGACAGAUCUUGUGU